Molecule: ribosomal RNA, 358 nt
Filed under: uncultured bacterium
Lineage: Bacteria
Description: bacterial SSU rRNA
Rfam family: Bacterial small subunit ribosomal RNA
Source: RNAcentral
AACGAACGCUGGCGGCAGGCCUAACACAUGCAAGUCGAACGCUCCGCAAGGGGAGUGGCGCACGGGUGAGUAACACGUGGGAACCUACCUUCUGGUACGGAACAACCAAGGGAAACUCUGGCUGAUACCGUAUACGACCUCCGGGUGAAAGAUUGAUCGCCGGAAGAGGGGCCCGCGUCCGAUUAGGUAGUUGGUGAGGUAACGGCUCACCAAGCCUGCGAUCGGUAGCUGGUCUGAGAGGANGACCAGCCACACUGGGACUGAGACACGGCCCAGACUCCUACGGGAGGCAGCAGUGGGGAAUAUUGGACAAUGGGCGCAAGCCUGAUCCAGCCAUGCCGCGUGAGUGAUGAAGGCC